UUCCGCAGCGGGGCUGAGCAAGUCUGUUGAGGAUGAAUCUCUUGGAGUUCCGGCAAACUGCAUGAAGAGGAGUCACUGAGAUGGGUCGGCUCUUAGGGUCUGUUGGGCUUGACAGUCACUUUCACCUUAGAUCUGUCGAGAUCCCACUCUGGUUGUCUUGUCUUGCAUACGCGUGUAUAGGCUCACUCACUCUUCGUUGAACGGGAGAGCCUGAGUUUUAGAUGCCUAGGGGUGUUCUUGUCACCACAGUUGCAAUAAGCAACUCCACCAACACAGCCUUGCUUGCUAUGUGGAUGAUGGGGAUGUCUAUCCACAGGAUGAGUCAGUACCAGAAAGACAUUAAAGAAGAGAACAUGGUUAAAGGAGAGAAACUUGAGUAACCAGGCUGGGAAUCAUAUUUGAACCAGUGAAUAAUGUUGCUGGUCAGAGCUCCUAUGGGUUACUGCCAAGAAGAUCUUGUUGAGGGAUCAGAGAGUUAGUAUCGGUUCUUGAUUUGUUGUUGUCAACAGUAUAUGUAGUUCUCUAUUGAACUGGUUUAUCCCGUCAUUUACUGAUAAUAUUACGA
This is a long non-coding RNA of Raphanus sativus (radish), 565 nucleotides long. RefSeq lists it as uncharacterized. The record is from RefSeq and is a predicted model, not a curated record. The transcript is spliced from 3 exons. Lineage: Eukaryota; Viridiplantae; Streptophyta; Magnoliopsida; Brassicales; Brassicaceae.